GCUUGAUUUCACGUUGGCCACAAUAUUGACGCCAGCUUCCCAAGCUGGAUGUCGCCGGUUCGAUCCCGGUCUCCCGCUCCA
RNAcentral lists this transfer RNA (81 nucleotides) under Acidobacteriota bacterium. RNAcentral describes it as "Acidobacteria bacterium tRNA-Gly". Lineage: Bacteria; Pseudomonadati; Acidobacteriota. The record is from RNAcentral.